AGGGGGUAGUGACACUGAGCCCACCAAAGGACAUAGACAAUAUUAGGAAGACACAGACCUUGCCCAGGAGGGCAGAGACCUUGAGGAGAUGGCACGGACCCAACAAAAUAUCCUCCUGAGAGGCAUAUAUCCCUCGGAUGAAAUGGAGUUCAAUUCCAUCACCACCUCAGAAAAGAGCUUUGCUGGAGCCAGUCUGGACCUGUAGAAUUUAGGUGAUUGUUACAUUUUAAAUGUGCACAUUCAUACCUCAGAAAUCAGUGAUGCCGGGGGCAGCUGGGUGGCUCAGUAGAUUCAGAGUCAGGGCUAGAGAUGGGAGGUCCUGGGUUCAAAUUUGACCUCAGCCACUUCCUAGCUGUGUGAUCCUGGGCAAGUCACUUGACCCCCAUGGCCUAGCCCUUACCACUCUUCUGCCUUGGAGCCAAUACACAGUAUUGAUUCCAAGAUGGAAGGUGAGGGUUAAAAAAAAAAGAAAUCAGUGAUGCCACAAAUCAGGGUUUGACAUUGUUUCAGACUUAGGAAAAUGUUAAUAAUGAAGAUUAAACUAAAAAAAAAAGUCAUGCCUCUGUUUCUCCUGUCUCUCCACCCUUACCCACUGGCCUAGUUAUUAAACAUUUACUGGUACAUCUUGCGCUAUGUGAGGCAAGUUAGGUUUCCUCAGUAAUAUGCUGCUCCCCUCCCAAGGACAGAAUAAAUGGAAGGAAUGAGAAAGUAUUCAUUAAGCAUCUUCUAUAUUCAAAGCACUAACUGCUAUUGGGGGUAGGGGGCGAGGUGCAAAUAGAAAAUCAUGACAGUCCCUGCUGUCCAGGAGCUCAUAUUCUAAUGGGGGGAGAUAAGACAUAGAGGAGCUUUCGGCAUCAAGUCAGAUGGGAACUUCCGGUCCUUUGGGUAUAGCGGAUGCAAUGGAGUCCAGUGACUCUGAAGUUAUCUCUGCUUGAAAGUUUGCCAGAUCAGUUCUUGGUAUGUUAUUUCAUAUUUUCUUCAUGUUUUUAUACUCUAUUGAUUUUAUUUUAAUAUAACAUCUCCCAUUAAAUUCUUGGUUCAUUCUAUAUUCAGGAAAUUUGUAAACUUGGGUAAAUAAGGUUUUGUAUAUCUUCUAUUAAACUUUUAAUUCUUCUUCCAAAUAUUUCUUCUGGUGCUCUCAUUAAAAAAAAUUAUUUUAGAGAUCUCAUAAUAUAUACUAUGAUUUUUUAAAAACCCUUCCCUUCUGUCUUAGAUUUUUAAAUUUUAUUUUUAAAUUAUUAAUUAAUAAUUAUAUAUUUAAUUAAUAAUAUAUA
This 1274-nucleotide long non-coding RNA is filed under the name Monodelphis domestica (gray short-tailed opossum). Its description in RNAcentral is "lncRNA (ENSMODG00000047062.1)". Lineage: Eukaryota; Metazoa; Chordata; Mammalia; Didelphimorphia; Didelphidae. The record is from RNAcentral.